UAGGGAAUCUUCCGCAAUGGGCGAAAGCUUGACGGAGCAACGCCGCGUGAGUGAUGAAGGUCUUCGGAUCGUAAAACUCUGUUAUUAGGGAAGAACAAAUGUGUAAGUAACUAUGCACGUCUUGACGGUACCUAAUCAGAAAGCCACGGCUAACUACGUGCCAGCAGCCGCGGUAAUACGUAGGUGGCAAGCGUUAUCCGGCAUUAUUGGGCGUAAAGCGCGCGUAGGCGGUUUUUUAAGUCUGAUGUGAAAGCCCACGGCUCAACCGUGGAGGGUCAUUGGAAACGGGAAAACUUGAGGGCAGAAGAGGAGAGUGGAAUUCCAUGUGUAGCAGUGAAAUGCGCAGAGAUAUGGAGGAACACCAGUGGCGAAGGCGACUUUCUGGUCUGUAACUGACGCUGAUGUGCGAAAGCGUGGGGAUCAAACAGG
This 429-nucleotide ribosomal RNA is filed under the name Actinomycetes bacterium. Its description in RNAcentral is "Actinobacteria bacterium partial 16S ribosomal RNA". It matches the Rfam family "Bacterial small subunit ribosomal RNA", at positions 355 to 776 of the family's 1533-position model. The record is from RNAcentral. Lineage: Bacteria; Bacillati; Actinomycetota; Actinomycetes.